This 397-nucleotide ribosomal RNA is filed under the name uncultured bacterium. RNAcentral describes it as "partial 16S ribosomal RNA". It matches the Rfam family "Bacterial small subunit ribosomal RNA", at positions 338 to 732 of the family's 1533-position model. The record is from RNAcentral.
CCUACGGGAGGCUGCAGUGAGGAAUAUUGGUCAAUGGGCGCGAGCCUGAACCAGCCAAGUAGCGUGAAGGAUGACUGUCCUACGGGUUGUAAACCUCUUUUAUAAAGGAAUAAAGUGAGGCACGCGUGCCUUUUUGUAUGUACCUUAUGAAUAAGCAUCGGCUAACUCCGUGCCAGCAGCCGCGGUAAUACGGAGGAUCCGAGCGUUAUCCGGAUUUAUUGGGUUUAAAGGGGGCGUAGACGGGUUGUUAAGUCAGGUGUGAAAGUUUGGGGCUCAACCGUAAAAUUGCAAUUGAUACUGGCAGCCUUGAGUACAGUUGAGGUAGGCGGAAUGCGUGGUGUAGCGGUGAAAUGCAUAGAUAUCACGAAGAACUCCGAUUGCGAAGGCAGCUUACUAA